RNAcentral lists this unclassified non-coding RNA (273 nucleotides) under Glomus sp. RNAcentral describes it as "partial contains 5.8S ribosomal RNA and internal transcribed spacer 2". The stretch from base 1 to 71 matches the Rfam family "5.8S ribosomal RNA", at positions 84 to 154 of the family's 154-position model. The record is from RNAcentral. Lineage: Eukaryota; Fungi; Glomeromycota; Glomeromycetes; Glomerales; Glomeraceae.
GUGAAUCAUCAAAUUUUUGAACGCAAAUUGCACUUUCUGGUAUUCCGGAAAGUAUGCCUGUUUGAGGGUCAGUUAAAUAUAAAUAGGUGUUAUUGCUGUUAAUGGUGAUGCAUGGGAAUUGAGUCGUAUUUAUUUUUGGUUUUAAGUGACUUAAAAUUAUGUAAGUUUUUUGAACGUAUUGAAAUUAUUGACUUACGUUCGUAUUAUCACAUAUUAGGUGCGGUCGUCCACAUGAUAUGGCGGCUAUAAUUUUUUCAUUAUUUGACCUCAUAU